GAAUCGAAUUCCGCGUCCUCGCAAUACCCUAGAAAACCAGGUUUUAAAACUAUAAGUGUUGUUAUACGGGUUCUUGGUUUAUAAAUACAAGGUGAUCUGGUACAUAACUAGUUUAUCUACUCCAAAUAAAUCAACAAUUUCCCUAGAGUUAAACUGAUGAAAGUGAUGAAAUACUUCGUAGGAUUUCUUUCUUUCUAGAGGUGCAAACCAGAACCAAUUUGCUUUGAAUAAGAUUUCUUGCCAAACAAGUUUUCUGCGCCGUUUAUUUAAAAUUAUUAAAAUCAAGUUUGACCUUUAAAGUACAAAUAUAACACUUUCAAUUUCUAUUCAAGUUCCAGGUUUAUAACUAUAAAGGUUUAUCGAGUAUAUAACUAGUUUAUCGUUUCGAAGUAAAUUCAAAGAUUUACUUAGGGUGAAACUUGGCAAAAGUAGUAAAAAUGUUUCUUGUAGUUUUCCUUAUAAAAGGUAAUUAGUAUUAUUUUCUUGAGAUAAAUCGACAAACCACUUAAUAUCAAAACUAGAAAGAUACUUCGAAAGAUUUCUUUUAAGCUAUGGUUCUUGUAAAAAUUGUCACUAAAAACUAUUUUAUCUAAAAUAAAGUUUCUUGCUGAGCAAGUUUCUACAUUUUUAAUUAAAGCUAUUAAAACUCUUAUUUUGGAACUUUUCCUAUAGUUAACUAUCCAAGUGCAAAGCUUAAGGAAAGAAAAGGAAUUAAAAUAAGACUUAGAGUUUUCAAAAGCUAUAGAACUUAUUUACUAUAGCUAUCAAGGCUAGUUUGAGCUAGAGAGAAUUAUCGGGUUGGAAAGGUUUAGGCAAAACACUAGAUAUUGAGUUUUAUAAUAUAAUACUAGCUGGAAAAUAUUUGUUUGAGUACUUUGAUCACAGUUACUAGAGUUCGCAAGGUCGAAAAGACUUUCACAGUUUUUGAUUCCAUUUCGCAAUCAUAUUAUGGAUCAAAUAUGGCAAAAUCACAUAGCAAAUCACUAGGGUUUCGUCAAUCAUUAGCCCUAGAUUUCAACAAUUGCAUUUCUGAUAAAAAAUAAAUUGAACGACCAAGGCUUCAUCAAUCAUUAGCACUUGGUUUCAGCAAGCCCAUCAUAAGCAAAUAAAAAUAAAAGUAAGGCCUCCAAGACAUUCCAGCAAUUAACUUUCAUCAUCCAGUAGUACUUAUAAAGUCAUUCAAAUGGCCAAGGGCUUCAUCAUCAUUAGCUCUUGACAACCAAUACACACUUUCAAAUACCAAUUCAUUCAAAACAAGAACAAAAACUACAACCAACUUGAGAUCCAAAUGAUUCCAAGAAUCUAAAAUAUCCAUUAAACUUUCCACUUUUAUUUGCUAGAAUCACUAUACAUAUAGAUUAUAAUCUGUCCAAACCAAGCUAAAGUAAAUAAUACACAAAUCCAGCAAAUAAACUCACCAAAAGUCCCAACCAGUUCGGUCAUGCUGGAAAAAUAUUUUCCUUCAAAAAUUGCUUUAGUUCAUGUUCCACAAAUCAAACAGUUAUGAAAAUUAUACUGUUGUAGAAUAGAUUUUUAAUACUAUCACAUCCCAGAAGACACUUUUCAGAGAUUCAAAUCACAAAUGGGCCAAAUAUUCUAUCCAAGUCAAGAAUUCAGUUUCCUGAGGAAACAGGACAUUCAAACAGGACAGCCUACUUUGAGGAAUCACGGACAGCAGUACACAUGGAGGAAAAAUAUGAAAUUUCUACAAAACAAAGGCCCAUGACUCUAGUUUCAAAUGCCACUGACGGCACCUCAAUCGGAUUUUCCUACACCAAGAUAUAAGCAUUUUACUGAGACUGGUCAGAGAAAUCCGAAAAUCUGGAAACUCAUUUUUCACUUGUGAAAAACUCCUUUUCCUCUUUUAAAACCAUAAUACUCUUAUUCAAAUCAUCAUACAUUUAAGUAUGAUAUUCAUACCAGCAUAUACCAAAGCAAAUAACGCUUAAUUCCAAUAAAUUAUUCCACCAAAAAGUCCCCAUAAAUCUGUCAUCAGCUAAGAUAAAAUUUGCCAGCAAUUGAUAGUUUAUUUAUAUAGCUUUUGUUCCUAGUUUUCUUCAAUUCUUACCUCAGCUCAACAUGCAACAGGUGAUUAGCAAGCCUCAAGCAAAUCUUAAACAGCCAAUACGAAAAUCUGAAUUGAAAUUCGAAAACAAAACUAAUUAAAUGCUCACUUCCUUCUCUCGACCAAGCUGGAAUAUUUUGCAGCAGAAAAUUUCCCUCGGUUUCAAUCCACAAUUCAACUUUUCCUCAGAUUUUCCUCCAUUAAACUUCACUUAAUACUUAAAGCUAAUAAUCUAUAUGCAAUUUAUAACAAAAUUUUCCAUUUGACAGCAAUUACAAAUGCAAACAAACAUGAAGUCUCUCGGCUAUUCCAGAAAAUUUCCAGCAGCUAAGUUAGACGCAAAUCUGGAGUUUCUUCAGCUAAAACCUUGUAUUAGGUACUCAAAACCAACAUGCAUGACUAAUUAGUGGAAUUACUAUCAGCUCUGGUUUAAAUCAAGUUCGGACAGCAACUACUAUCAUCCACAAUUCCAGAAUUUUGUUCAACCAUUCUCGGAUGCUCUUGCAUGCAGCAAAUUCUUUUGUUACAUCCUUAUUUCUUGCUUAGCCGACUGAUUAACCUCAUGCAAGACUUAAUCAUCUGAUUUUUACUUAGCUAAUUACAUUUAUGAGCUCAGAUUGUUCAAAUAAGCAGAUUAAGGACUGCAUUUUCUGAACAGGCUCUCGGCAAAACCAUCUCCGUUAAAAUCAGAUUUCUUAUUCUUUGAUUUUAUCGUCAAGUGCUUAACCAUCACAUGCAAGCUCUUAAACAACUCAUUUAUCUCUAAUUAGCUAGUCUAGGACCAGAGUUUACCUCAGCUUAAGGUUUAGCUCACACGACAAUCAGCUGCAAAAUUUUCUUCCUCUCGGCUAUCCAGAAAUUGCAGCCCGCAAAUCUUCCUCCCCUUUGCUCAAACUUGCGGCUGGAUUGGAUGAAGUUUGGCUCUCAGAUCUCUCCAUCAACUCACGGACAAACCAGAAAAAUACUUCAGCUCGCGGUUUUCCUCCUUUUCUUUUCUUGUCGAUGAUACCGAAGCUACGUCCCUCUCACUCUCCUUUCCUUCGAUGGUCACGAGGUGGGGUGAAGUGAAGAUGAUUCGUGGGUGGAGGAGGUUGAGUUGUGCAGAGGAAAUGAGAUUUGGUGAAGAGUGGUAUCUCGGUAUCAAGAAAGAAAUGGUUUGCGGUUUUGUUUGUGCAGAGAAGGAAAGGAAGUUGCGGUUUGUGUUUGUGAUAUGAAAUGUG
This 3285-nucleotide long non-coding RNA is filed under the name Coffea arabica (coffee). RNAcentral's name for it is "long non-coding RNA (CARA_LNC008229)". The record is from RNAcentral. Lineage: Eukaryota; Viridiplantae; Streptophyta; Magnoliopsida; Gentianales; Rubiaceae.